Stegodyphus mimosarum is the source of this 73-nucleotide non-coding RNA. Lineage: Eukaryota; Metazoa; Arthropoda; Arachnida; Araneae; Eresidae. The record is from Rfam.
GCCUUCGUUGCGUAGUGGUCAGCACACUCGGAGCAUAUUCGAGAGGUCCGUGGUUCGAGUCCCGGCGAGGGCA